GAGUUUGAUCCUGGCUCAGGACGAACGCUGGCGGCGUGCUUAACACAUGCAAGUCGAACGGUAAGGCUCCAGCUUGCUGGGGUACACGAGUGGCGAACGGGUGAGUAACACGUGGGUGACCUGCCCUGCACUUCGGGAUAAGCCUGGGAAACUGGGUCUAAUACCGGAUAGGACCAUGGUGUGGAUGCUGUGGUGGAAAGUUUUUUCGGUGUGGGAUGGGCCCGCGGCCUAUCAGCUUGUUGGUGGGGUAAUGGCCUACCAAGGCGGCGACGGGUAGCCGGCCUGAGAGGGUGGACGGCCACAUUGGGACUGAGACACGGCCCAGACUCCUACGGGAGGCAGCAGUGGGGAAUAUUGCACAAUGGGCGGAAGCUGGAUGCAGCGACGCGGCGUGGGGGAUGACGGCCUUCGGGUUGUAAACUCCUUUCACCAUCGACGAAGGGUUUCUGACGGUAGAUGGAGAAGAAGCACCGGCUAACUACGUGCCAGCAGCCGCGGUAAUACGUAGGGUGCGAGCGUUGUCCGGAAUUACUGGGCGUAAAGAGCUCGUAGGUGGUUUGUCGCGUCGUCUGUGAAAUUCCGGGGCUUAACUCCGGGCGUGCAGGCGAUACGGGCAUAACUUGAGUACUGUAGGGGAGACUGGAAUUCCUGGUGUAGCGGUGAAAUGCGCAGAUAUCAGGAGGAACACCGGUGGCGAAGGCGGGUCUCUGGGCAGUAACUGACGCUGAGGAGCGAAAGCAUGGGGAGCGAACAGGAUUAGAUACCCUGGUAGUCCAUGCCGUAAACGGUGGGCGCUAGGUGUGGGUUUCCUUCCACGGGAUCCGUGCCGUAGCUAACGCAUUAAGCGCCCCGCCUGGGGAGUACGGCCGCAAGGCUAAAACUCAAAGGAAUUGACGG
Molecule: ribosomal RNA, 897 nt
Filed under: uncultured Corynebacterium sp.
Lineage: Bacteria; Bacillati; Actinomycetota; Actinomycetes; Mycobacteriales; Corynebacteriaceae
Description: bacterial SSU rRNA
Rfam family: Bacterial small subunit ribosomal RNA
Source: RNAcentral